RNAcentral lists this ribosomal RNA (808 nucleotides) under uncultured bacterium. Its description in RNAcentral is "bacterial SSU rRNA". It matches the Rfam family "Bacterial small subunit ribosomal RNA", at positions 8 to 796 of the family's 1533-position model. The record is from RNAcentral.
AGAGUUUGAUCAUGGCUCAGAGCGAACGUUAGCGGCGCGCCUAACACAUGCAAGUCGCACGAGAAAGGGGGCAACCCCCGGUACAGUGGCGCACGGGUGAGUAACACGUGGAUGACCUGCCCUGGAGUGGUGGAUAACCUUCCGAAAGGAGGGCUAAUACAGCAUGAGACCACGCGCCUGCGGGCGCGGGGUCAAAGUGGGCCUCUAUUCAUAAGCCCACGCUCUGGGAGGGGUCCGCGGCCCAUCAGCUCGUUGGUGAGGUAAUGGCUCACCAAGGCAUCGACGGGUAGCUGGUCUGAGAGGAUGGCCAGCCACACUGGAACUGAGACACGGUCCAGACUCCUACGGGAGGCAGCAGUGGGGAAUCUUGCGCAAUGGGCGAAAGCCUGACGCAGCGACGCCGCGUGGGUGACGAAGGCCUUCGGGUUGUAAAGCCCUGUGGGGAGGAACGAACCGGCGCCGGGGGAACAUCCCGGCGCCCUGACGGUACCUCCUUAGCAAGCACCGGCUAACUCUGUGCCAGCAGCCGCGGUAAGACAGAGGGUGCAAACGUUGCUCGGAAUUACUGGGCGUAAAGCGCGUGUAGGCGGUGUGGUCAGUCGGGUGUGAAAGCCCAGGGCUCAACCCUGGAAGCGCCCUCGAUACUGCCACGCUGGGGUCUUGAAGAGGAGAGCGGAAUUCCCGGUGUAGAGGUGAAAUUCGUAGAUAUCGGGAGGAACACCAGUGGCGAAGGCGGCUCUUUGGGCAAUGACCGACGCUGAGACGCGAAAGCGUGGGGAGCAAACAGGAUUAGAUACCCUAGUAGUCC